This 377-nucleotide ribosomal RNA is filed under the name uncultured eukaryote. RNAcentral describes it as "partial 18S ribosomal RNA". It matches the Rfam family "Eukaryotic small subunit ribosomal RNA", at positions 592 to 976 of the family's 1831-position model. The record is from RNAcentral.
CAAUAGCGUAUAUUAAAGUUGUUGCAGUUAAAAAACUCGUAGUUGGAUUUCGGGGCAGCCUGGCUGGUCCGCCGCAAGGCGAGUACUGGUCAGCCGCCCUUCCUCUCGAAAGCCCCGACUGCUCUUCGUUGCAGUGGUCGGGUAGUUCGGGACGUUUACUUUGAAAAAAUUAGAGUGUUCAAGGCAGGCCUACGCCUGAAUACAUUAGCAUGGAAUAAUGGAAGAGGACCUCGGUCCUAUUUUGUUGGUUUCCAGGGCCGAAGUAAUGAUUAAGAGGGACAGUUGGGGGCAUUCGUAUUUAAUUGUCAGAGGUGAAAUUCUCGGAUUUAUGAAAGACGAACAACUGCGAAAGCAUUUGCCAAGGAUGUUUUCAUUAA